CAGCAGCCGCGGGAAUACGAAGGGGGCUAGCGUUACUCGGAAUUACUGGGCGUAAAGGGCGCGUAGGCGGCACGAUUAGUCAGGCGUGAAAUUCCUGGGCUCAACCUGGGGACUGCGCUUGAUACGGUCGAGCUAGAGGAUGGAAGAGGGUCGUGGAAUUCCCAGUGUAGAGGUGAAAUUCGUAGAUAUUGGGAAGAACACCGGUGGCGAAGGCGGCGACCUGGUCCAUUACUGACGCUGAGGCGCGACAGCGAGGGGAGCAAACAGGAUUAGAUACCCCCGUAGUCCCUGUCUCUUAUAC
This 301-nucleotide ribosomal RNA is filed under the name uncultured bacterium. RNAcentral's name for it is "partial 16S ribosomal RNA". It matches the Rfam family "Bacterial small subunit ribosomal RNA", at positions 509 to 807 of the family's 1533-position model. The record is from RNAcentral.